RNAcentral lists this ribosomal RNA (253 nucleotides) under uncultured bacterium. RNAcentral's name for it is "partial 16S ribosomal RNA". It matches the Rfam family "Bacterial small subunit ribosomal RNA", at positions 524 to 776 of the family's 1533-position model. The record is from RNAcentral.
UACGGAGUGUGCGAGCGUUACUCGGAAUCACUGGGCAUAAAGAGCACGUAGGCGGGGAUUCAUGUCCGUGGUGAAAUCCCCCAGCUCAACUGGGGUACUGCUUCGGAAACUGUGUCUCUUGAGGACGAGAGGGGAGAGUGGAACUUCUGGUGGAGCGGUGAAAUGCGUAGAUAUCAGAAGGAACACCGGUGGCGAAAGCGACUCUCUGGCUCGUUUCUGACGCUGAGGUGCGAAAGCUUGGGGAGCAAACAGG